AACGAACGUUGGCGGUGUGCCUAAUACAUGCAAGUCGCGCGAGAAAGCCGGGGCAACUCGGCGAGUACAGCGGCGGAAGGGUGCGUAAUACAUGGAUAACGUGCCCUCGAGUGGAGGAUAACCCACCGAAAGGUGGGCUAAUACUGCAUGACGGCGGGAGGCGGCCUCGUUUCCCGCUCAAAGCAGAGAUGCGCUCGAGGAGCGGUCCAUGGCCUAUCAGCUAGUUGGCGGGGUAACGGCCCACCAAGGCGAUGACGGGUAGCCGGACUGAGAGGUUGAACGGCCACACUGGGACUGAGACACGGCCCAGACAUCUACGGAUGGCAGCAGUAGGGAAUCUUGCGCAAUGGGCGAAAGCCUGACGCAGCGACACCGCGUGGGGG
This 383-nucleotide ribosomal RNA is filed under the name uncultured bacterium. RNAcentral's name for it is "bacterial SSU rRNA". It matches the Rfam family "Bacterial small subunit ribosomal RNA", at positions 29 to 407 of the family's 1533-position model. The record is from RNAcentral.